GUAGUACAUUGAUGGGGACCCCUUGGGAAGUCUUGUGUUGCAGCCAUGGGUGCGAUCAUACCAGCACUAAUGCACCGGAUCCCGUCAGAACU
This 92-nucleotide ribosomal RNA is filed under the name Calamus deerratus. Lineage: Eukaryota; Viridiplantae; Streptophyta; Magnoliopsida; Arecales; Arecaceae. The record is from RNAcentral.